Molecule: long non-coding RNA, 885 nt
Filed under: Pan troglodytes (chimpanzee)
Lineage: Eukaryota; Metazoa; Chordata; Mammalia; Primates; Hominidae
Description: long non-coding RNA NONPTRT005668
Source: RNAcentral
GAGGCGGGACGGAGUUGGGGCCGGUGGGGAGGGGCAUGAGGCGCUCGCAGGCACCUCGAGAAGCAGGCCCCGACCGCUCGCCGACGAAGCCUCGUCCGGGCCUCCUGGGAGCGGGGUGGCAGGCACCGUGGCGCCUCCUCGCGUUGGUCUUGCUGGUUCUCGGCCCCCGAAGCGGAGCGACGGAGACACAGCUGUGGAAGCAUCUGGAUCCGCUGCCCAGGUCCCCGAGCUUCCCGGAACCCGAGGCCGCAGGACACUGAAGGCUGCCAUUCCCGAGUAAGUGAGUGCAGUAAAGACCGGUAAGGCCCACGCAGAAGAAACACUGAGGAAAGAAGACACUUCCAAAGUAACAAAUGGGAGGAAGCAGCCAACGCCCGAGGACAACAUGGCAAGAAGGAGCCUUUGGAUUCCGGACUGGGAUGGAAAGAGAGUUGAUUGAAUCCCGGAAUUUGGAAACCCCAGAUACGGAGGGCGGACGGUACAACCGGAGCUGUCAGGUGGAUUUCCAAGGCUUUGCAUUGGCUGUACCUGAAACUUAUGGUGGCCUAGACUCCCCAGUAUCCACUCUUCCUUAUCUUGGUAAACAAGCCCAGUUCUUAGUCACAUCCCUGCUCUGCCUACUUACAGGGGCAUGUGGUCCCAAUCUAAGCAACGUAGCAUAAUUCCAACCUAAAUCAGCAGAAUCCCAUUCCCUGCCACAGUUAUUGGCUGGCAAUGAGCGUAACAUAUUUGGGCCAAUGAGGAGCAAUUUCCUGGUCUUUGUUGGGAAAAGUUUUUCUUUCAUUUUCUGAGAGCGCUUCAGAGGUAACCCAUUCUUUCUGCAUGUCCUCAAAAAAACGGGUCCCCUGGAUGGUGGGUAGCCAUCUUCCAAAUACAAGUCUAGCC